RNAcentral lists this ribosomal RNA (492 nucleotides) under uncultured bacterium. RNAcentral describes it as "partial 16S ribosomal RNA". It matches the Rfam family "Bacterial small subunit ribosomal RNA", at positions 28 to 507 of the family's 1533-position model. The record is from RNAcentral.
GGUGAACGCUGGCGGUAGGCCUAACACAUGCAAGUCGAACGGCAGCACAGUAAGAGCCUGCUCUUACGGGUGGCGAGUGGCGGACGGGUGAGGAAUACAUCGGAAUCUACUUUUUCGUGGGGGAUAACGUAGGGAAACUUACGCUAAUACCGCAUACGACCUACGGGUGAAAGCAGGGGAUCCUCGGACCUUGCGCGAUUGAAUGAGCCGAUGUCGGAUUAGCUAGUUGGCGGGGUAAAGGCCCACCAAGGCGACGAUCCGUAGCUGGUCUGAGAGGAUGAUCAGCCACACUGGAACUGAGACACGGUCCAGACUCCUACGGGAGGCAGCAGUGGGGAAUAUUGGACAAUGGGCGCAAGCCUGAUCCAGCCAUACCGCGUGGGUGAAGAAGGCCUUCGGGUUGUAAAGCCCUUUUGUUGGGAAAGAAAAGCAGCAGGUUAAUACCCCGCUGUUCUGACGGUACCCAAAGAAUAAGCACCGGCUAACUUCGUG